AGGGUUCGAUCCUGGCUCAGGACGAACGCUGGCGGUGCGCCUUAUGCAUGCAAGUCGAGCGAAGCUUUUCAGUAGUUUACUACAGAAAAUGACUGAGCGGCGAACGGGUGAGUAACGCGUGAGCAAUCUAUCUUAGUUACUGGGAUAGCCCGAGGAAACUCGGAUUAAUACCGGAUAAUCUUAUUACAUCACAUGAUAUUUUAAGUAAAGGUCAGCCGAACUAAGAUGAGCUCGCGUUCUAUCAGCUUGUUGGUGGGGUAAAAGCCUACCAAGGCUACGACGGAUAGCUGGUCUGAGAGGACGAUCAGCCACACUGGGACUGAGACACGGCCCAGACUCCUACGGGAGGCUGCAGCAGGGAAUAUUGCGCAAUGAGCGAAAGCUUGACGCAGCGACACCGCGUGUGGGAUGACGGUUCUAGGAUUGUAAACCACUUUCAGGAGGGAAGAAAAUGACGGUACCUCCACAAGAAGCCCCGGCCAACUACGUGCCAGCCGCCGCGGUAAUUC
RNAcentral lists this ribosomal RNA (509 nucleotides) under uncultured bacterium. RNAcentral describes it as "bacterial SSU rRNA". It matches the Rfam family "Bacterial small subunit ribosomal RNA", at positions 8 to 526 of the family's 1533-position model. The record is from RNAcentral.